ACUUGGGCGGCGGGCUACACAUGCAGUCGAGCGGAUGAAGGGAGCUUGCUCCUGGAUUCAGCGGCGGACGGGUGAGUAAUGCCUAGGAAUCUGCCUGGUAGUGGGGGAUAACGUCCGGAAACGGGCGCUAAUACCGCAUACGUCCUGAGGGAGAAAGUGGGGGAUCUUCGGACCUCACGCUAUCAGAUGAGCCUAGGUCGGAUUAGCUAGUUGGUGGGGUAAAGGCCUACCAAGGCGACGAUCCGUAACUGGUCUGAGAGGAUGAUCAGUCACACUGGAACUGAGACACGGUCCAGACUCCUACGGGAGGCAGCAGUGGGGAAUAUUGGACAAUGGGCGAAAGCCUGAUCCAGCCAUGCCGCGUGUGUGAAGAAGGUCUUCGGAUUGUAAAGCACUUUAAGUUGGGAGGAAGGGCAGUAAGUUAAUACCUUGCUGUUUUGACGUUACCAACAGAAUAAGCACCGGCUAACUUCGUGCCAGCACCACGGGUAAUAA
Molecule: ribosomal RNA, 495 nt
Filed under: Pseudomonas sp. Hu59B
Lineage: Bacteria; Pseudomonadati; Pseudomonadota; Gammaproteobacteria; Pseudomonadales; Pseudomonadaceae
Description: bacterial SSU rRNA
Rfam family: Bacterial small subunit ribosomal RNA
Source: RNAcentral